GACGAACGCUGGCGACGUGCUUAACACAUGCAAGUCGAGCGGUAAGGCCCUUUCGGGGGUACACGAGCGGCGAACGGGUGAGUAACACGUGGGUGACCUGCCCUCAGCUCUGGGAUAAGCCUGGGAAACCGGGUCUAAUACUGGAUAUGACUCCAUGACGCAUGUUGUGGGGUGGAAAGCCUUGUGCGGCUGAGGAUGGGCCCGCGGCCUAUCAGCUUGUUGGUGGGGUGAGGCCUACCAAGGCGACGACGGGUAGCCGGCCUGAGAGGGCGACCGGCCACACUGGGACUGAGACACGGCCCAGACUCCUACGGGAGGCAGCAGUGGGGAAUCUUGCGCAAUGGGCGAAAGCCUGACGCAGCGACGCCGCGUGAGGGAUGACGGCCUCGGUUGUAAC
This 397-nucleotide ribosomal RNA is filed under the name uncultured bacterium. RNAcentral describes it as "bacterial SSU rRNA". It matches the Rfam family "Bacterial small subunit ribosomal RNA", at positions 28 to 429 of the family's 1533-position model. The record is from RNAcentral.